GAUGGUGACCCUUGCGAUGGGGAACCGCGAAUUUGGUCAGGCCUUAACUGGAGCAGCCAUAAGCGGGGUACCUUUGUGCAGGGGUUGCCAUCCGG
Molecule: signal recognition particle RNA, 95 nt
Filed under: Rosistilla ulvae
Lineage: Bacteria; Pseudomonadati; Planctomycetota; Planctomycetia; Pirellulales; Pirellulaceae
Description: Planctomycetes bacterium EC9 Bacteria_small_SRP
Rfam family: Bacterial small signal recognition particle RNA
About the family: The signal recognition particle (SRP) is a universally conserved ribonucleoprotein involved in the co-translational targeting of proteins to membranes. Archaeal SRP consists of a 7S RNA and homologues of the eukaryotic SRP19 and SRP54 proteins.
Source: RNAcentral